CCGAGUUCAUGCCCUCACGGGUAGAUCUCCCACCCUAUGUUAUUAUUACCUCUGUUGCUUUGGCGGGCCGUCAGGCUUCGGUCAGGCUACCGGCUCCGGCUGGUAUGCGCCCGCCAGAGGACCCCAAACUCUGUUUAUUAGUGUCGUCUGAGUACUAUAAUAUAAUAGUUA
This 171-nucleotide unclassified non-coding RNA is filed under the name uncultured Helotiales. RNAcentral describes it as "sequence contains ITS1". The record is from RNAcentral. Lineage: Eukaryota; Fungi; Ascomycota; Leotiomycetes; Helotiales.